Molecule: ribosomal RNA, 253 nt
Filed under: uncultured bacterium
Lineage: Bacteria
Description: partial 16S ribosomal RNA
Rfam family: Bacterial small subunit ribosomal RNA
Source: RNAcentral
AACGUAGGAGGCAAGCGUUAUCCGGAUUUACUGGGCGUAAAGAGUGCGUAGGCGGCUCUGUAAGUGGGUGGUGAAAGCGCCCGGCUAAACCGGGAGAGGUCCAUUCAGACUGCAGGUCUAGAGGCGGAUAGAGGGGUGCGGAAUUCAGGGUGUAGCGGUGAAAUGUGUAGAGAUCCGGAGGAACACCAGUGGUGCAGACGGCGCCCUGGGUCCGAACUGACGCUGAAGCACGAAAGCGUGGGGAGCGAACGGG